UAGCAUGUCAUUGGUGCUGUCUUUGUUGAGU
This 31-nucleotide non-coding RNA is filed under the name Rattus norvegicus (Norway rat). The record is from RNAcentral. Lineage: Eukaryota; Metazoa; Chordata; Mammalia; Rodentia; Muridae.